AUUGAACGCUGGCGGAAUGCUUUACACAUGCAAGUCGAACGGCAGCACGGACUUCGGUCUGGUGGCGAGUGGCGAACGGGUGAGUAACGUAUCGGAACGUGCCCAGUCGUGGGGGAUAACGUAGUGAAGAUUACGCUAAUACCGCAUACGAUCUAUGGAUGAAAGCGGGGGAUCGCAAGACCUCGCGCGAUUGGAGCGGCCGAUAUCAGAUUAGGUAGUUGGUGGGGUAAAGGCCCACCAAGCCAACGAUCUGUAGCUGGUCUGAGAGGACGACCAGCCACACUGGAACUGAGACACGGUCCAGACUCCUACGGGAGGCAGCAGUGGGGAAUUUUGGACAAUGGGCGAAAGCCUGAUCCAGCCAUUCCGCGUGCAGGAUGAAGGCCCUCGGGUUGUAAACUGCUUUUGUACAGAACGAAAAGGUUUCUACUAAUACUAGGAGCUCAUGACGGUACUGUAAGAAUAAGCACCGGCUAACUACGUGCCAGCCGCCGCAGUAA
This 500-nucleotide ribosomal RNA is filed under the name uncultured bacterium. RNAcentral's name for it is "partial 16S ribosomal RNA". It matches the Rfam family "Bacterial small subunit ribosomal RNA", at positions 30 to 523 of the family's 1533-position model. The record is from RNAcentral.